Molecule: ribosomal RNA, 468 nt
Filed under: uncultured bacterium
Lineage: Bacteria
Description: partial 16S ribosomal RNA
Rfam family: Bacterial small subunit ribosomal RNA
Source: RNAcentral
GACGAACGCUGGCGGCGUGCUUAACACAUGCAAGUCGAACGGCAUGGCCCUGCUUUUUUGGUCUGCUCGUUUGCCGAACGGGUGAGGAACACGUGAGUAUCGUGCCCUUGACUUUGGGAUAACUUCACGAAACUGGGGUUAAUAUCGUAUAGGAGCUCCUGCUGCAGGGAGGGGGUUGGAUAGUUUCGGCGUUUGUGGAUGGACUCGCGGCUUAUCAGUUAGCUGGUGGGGUAGGGGCUUACCAAGGCUUUGACGGGUACGCGGCCUGAGAAGGUGACCGGGCUCAUUAGGACUAAGAUACGGCCCAGACUCCAACAGGAGACAGUAGUCGGAAAUAUUACACAAUGGGAGGGAGCCUGAUGCAGAAACGCCGCGUGCGGGAUGACGGCCUGCGGGUUGUAAACCGCAGUAGCCUGUGACGAAGCGUGAGUGACGGUAAUGGGAAAAUAAGCACCGGCUAACUACGUG